CCCUGUAUCGAAAGUGAGCGUGGCGUCCUGUGGCCGCGCUCAUUGAUAGUACAGGAACAGGAAGCUGAGAGCCUUUCCCGUGUUUGAAGGAUGAUCAGUUCCUAUUGAACCCUGGCGCUCUCAGACA
This is a small nucleolar RNA of Dicentrarchus labrax (European seabass), 127 nucleotides long. Its record names the gene SNORA71. It matches the Rfam family "Small nucleolar RNA SNORA71". Rfam says of the family: The members of this family belong to the H/ACA class of snoRNAs which bind a number of proteins (including dyskerin, Gar1p and Nop10p) to form snoRNP complexes. The record is from Ensembl. NCBI's taxonomy places the organism in Eukaryota, Metazoa, Chordata, Actinopteri, Moronidae.